RNAcentral lists this ribosomal RNA (253 nucleotides) under uncultured bacterium. RNAcentral describes it as "partial 16S ribosomal RNA". It matches the Rfam family "Bacterial small subunit ribosomal RNA", at positions 524 to 776 of the family's 1533-position model. The record is from RNAcentral.
UACGUAGGGUGCGAGCGUUGUCCGGAAUUAUUGGGCGUAAAGAGCUCGUAGGCGGCUUGUCACGUCGGUUGUGAAAGCCCGGGGCUUAACCCCGGGUCUGCAGUCGAUACGGGCAGGCUAGAGUUCGGUAGGGGAGAUCGGAAUUCCUGGUGUAGCGGUGAAAUGCGCAGAUAUCAGGAGGAACACCGGUGGCGAAGGCGGAUCUCUGGGCCGAUACUGACGCUGAGACGCGAAAGCGUGGGGAGCAAACAGG